Molecule: long non-coding RNA, 491 nt
Organism: Scaptodrosophila lebanonensis
Lineage: Eukaryota; Metazoa; Arthropoda; Insecta; Diptera; Drosophilidae
Exons: 2
Source: RefSeq, a predicted model, not a curated record
GUCAGAAUUUUCCAAAUUACAUAAAUCUAUAGGAAAGUAGGCUGUGCUUGUGCUUGUCAGGAACAGGAGACAUAUCGCCUUCACUUCACAAAAAAUCUCUCAGAAAAUGGACUUUCAACUUUACCUUCUGGUCAUACCAACUGUUGGCACAUUGAUUUACGGGAUUGUAAACUGGAUUACCCAUUCCCGGAAGCGCAAUGAGUACUCGUAUGUCGCAAAUAACAUUUUAAUGGAAGAUUAUUUCGGGUCCAUGGUGCUGCGCAGCCAAGAGAGGGCUAAGCAAGAAGCCAAUGCAGAAGACCCAUCUUUGUUUACACAGGAGGCAUUGUUGUCUGCUAUUCGACUGCAGCUGGUGCAACCAGACAUUGAUUUAGCCGAAAACAUAUAGUUUAUUUUGAUAAAUACAAUUAUUUAUUUUAUAUGAAAAAUAAUGGUUAAUAUUUUGCCGGAAUUAAAAAUGUAUCUUUAGCAUUUGAAAAGACUAAACCAAA